RNAcentral lists this ribosomal RNA (425 nucleotides) under uncultured eukaryote. Its description in RNAcentral is "SSU rRNA". It matches the Rfam family "Eukaryotic small subunit ribosomal RNA", at positions 592 to 1013 of the family's 1831-position model. The record is from RNAcentral.
CAAUAGCGUAUAUUAAAGUUGUUGCGGUUAAAAGCUCGUAGUUGGAUUUCUGUCGAAGACGGCCGGUCCGCUCUAUGAGCGUGUAUCUGGUUCGGCUUUGGCAUCCUCGUGGGGAAGACGUAACUGUGCUUGAUUGCAUGGUGCGGAAUUCACGACUUUUACUUUGAGGAAAUUAGAGUGUUCACGGCAGGCAAGCGCCUUGAAUACAUUAGCAUGGAAUAAUAAUAUAGGACUUUGGUUCUAUUUUGUUGGUUUCUAGAACUAAAGUAAUGAUUAAUAGGGAUAAUUGGGGCAUUGGUAUUUAACGCGUUACAGAGGUGGAAUUGCUUAUGGUAUUGCGUUACGACAAACUACUGCGAAAGCAUUUUGCCAAGGAUGUUUUCAUUGAUCAAGAACGAAAGUAUGGGGAUCGAAGACGAUUAGAU